Molecule: RNA transcript, 4003 nt
Organism: Spinacia oleracea (spinach)
Lineage: Eukaryota; Viridiplantae; Streptophyta; Magnoliopsida; Caryophyllales; Amaranthaceae
Exons: 4
Source: RefSeq, a predicted model, not a curated record
GCCCUUGUAACAUGCUGCUAAGGGCAGGGAGGUGCUUCCAACAGUACAUUGUUGACAUGUACGUGAAGAUUGAAAACACUCGCUUGGACUUUUUCCGAAAGAACCAGCAAACUAUCAGGGCAGAUUUGUACCAAGGUAUACUCGACACUGUCGAGAGCGGUGAAAACAGUGCAGCUAAUGUGGGGCAUCGAGUUGUGUUACCACCAAGUUUUCUGGGGGGGCCUAGGGAUAUGAAAAAGAGGUAUUUGAAUGCGAUGUCCUUAGUUAAGAAGUAUGGGAAGCCUGAUUUGUUCCUUACAAUGACGUGCAAUCCUAAUUGGCCAGAGAUUAAACAAGAGUUGGCUGUCGGAGAGGAGGCACAAAACCGGCCAGAUUUAGUUUCAAGGAUUUUCCGUGCUAAACUGAUAGCGCUAAAACACCAUAUCAUGAAAAAAAAAAUAUUUGGUGAAGUUGCUGCUAUGAUAUAUGUUGUUGAGUUCCAGAAACGGGGGUUGCCGCACGCUCAUUUCCUUGUUAUCCUUAAACCCAAUUCUAAGAUUAGAAGCCCUGCUGACUUUGAUAAGUUUGUUUCUGCUGAGAUCCCUCCUCUUGCCAACCCUCACUUGAGGAAGAUUGUUCUUCAACACAUGAUGCAUGGCCCAUGUGGACAACUGAACCCUGAUUGUGCGUGCAUGAAACGGAAAGGUAAUGAGGGGCACUGCAAGUAUGGAUAUCCGAAAAAAUUUGCUGCCGAGACAACUAACAGCAGCGAUGGAUACCCACUUUAUAAAAGGAUAGAUACUGGAGAAAGUGUUUGUAUUCGCAGGGUUAAUAUGGAUAACAGGUCAGUUAUUCCGUAUAACCCGUACCUAUCAUCACUUUUUGAUUGCCACUUAAACGUUGAGGUUUGUUCGACCAUAAUGGCAGUCAAAUACCUGUACAAAUAUGUGUACAAGGGCCAUGACAGGAUCUCAUUCAACGUGCAGGAUGGUAGCACUGCUAUUGUUGAUGAGAUACAACAGUACCAGGCUGGGAGGUGGGUUUCCCCGUGUGAGGCAGCAUGGAGAAUUUUCGGGUUCGAUCUGUUUGAGAUGUUUCCAUCGGUGUUGCCUCUGCAAAUACAUCUGCCUAACUUGCAGACAAUCCAGGUAAUGCCUCAUGAGAAUUUAGACGAGAUCAUUUUAAAUGAUAAAAGAUCUCGAACUCAACUUACAGAAUUCUUUAGGAUGAAUGCUGCCACACCUGAUGGAACGGGCUAUACAUAUGCAGAAUUUCCAGAGCAUUAUAAGUGGGAGGGUAAAGAAUGGAAAAAAAGAAGCAACAAGACCGUUGUUGUUGGCAGGCUCACUUUUGUAGCACCUGCUGAAGGGGAACGUUACUUCCUCAGAUUAUUACUGAUGCAUGUGGAUAGCCCGCGAUCCUUUGAUCAUCUCCGAACUGUUGAUGGAUAUAAGUGUGCCACUUUUCAGGAGACAGCUCUGCGGCUGAAAUUGCUAGAGGAAGACAACGCUGUCGACUUGUGCUUAGCUGAAGCGUGUGAAGUGCAAAUGCCGACUGCAUUCCGACAGCUCUUUUCAACAGUGCUGAUCUUCUGCCAGCCAAGUGACCCCAAUGCCCUUUGGUUAAAAUACUACGACGCUCUCUCUGAAGAUUAUAGGCACCAGUAUCCGAGUUCUGAUAGCAGGUCAAGGGAGCUCACUGUUAGAUCUGUUGAGCAAUCUCUUGAAGCAAUGGGGAAAUCAUUUAGAGACUUUGGCCUACAACAUUUAAAUGAUUUUCAAGAUGAAGAGUUCAGGCGAACAAAAGACAUUAUCGAUGCACUUGAUGCACCGAUACCUCGGGACUGUAUUGAUGCCCGUAACACAUUAAACCAAGCACAGCAGGAGGCAUUUGACAGCAUUAUUGACCACGUUCUUAAAGGGAAACCUGGUGCAUUCUUCAUAGACGGGCCCGGAGGAACAGGUAAAACCUUCCUAUACAAUGCUCUCUAUGCAGAGGUUCGUUUGAUGAACAAGAUUGUCCUACCAACUGCGACAUCUGGAAUUGCAGCAUCAAAUAUACCUUCUGGGAGGACUGCUCACUCUCGGUUUAAAAUACCGAUAGAUUCUGAUGCUUCCCUUGCUUGCGAUGUUCCUAAACAGGGCAGUCUUGCAUGUUUACUAAAAGAGACAUCGUUGAUUAUUUGGGACGAAGCUUCAAUGGCAAGGAAAGAAAAUGUUGAGUCAUUAGACAUGCUUCUACGAGACUUGUGUGAUGAGAAUACCCUUUUUGGUGGCAAGCUUGUGGUUUUUGGUGGCGACUUCCGUCAGGUCCUGCCCGUCCUACCCCGCAAAACACAGCGAGAAGCUGUUGCUGCUAGCUUAGUGAGUUCUGUUCUUUGGCCUCGGUUCAUUAGGUUCAAUCUCACUGAAAAUGUUCGGGCAAGAGAAGAUCCCUACUUUUCUGCGUUUUUGCUUUCUCUUGGAAAUGGUGAGCUGCAAACCGGCGAGAAUGACCUUGUGCAAUUGCCAAUGCAGAUAGUACACCCAUCUGAGGUCGCUUCUGAUCCUAUUGCCGAACUGACUGCAAUUGCAUUUCCCGAGGUAGAUGUUUGCAGGUCCACCCCAGGCAAUUUCACAACAACGGCUAUACUGACCCCCCUGAAUGAAGAUGUUGAUGAUAUCAAUGCUACCCUGAUAGACAAAUUCCCUGGAGAAUCUGUUAUGUACAGGAGUUUUGAUACAGUUCUUGAUGAUAAUAGCGCGAUCUAUCCUCCUGAAUUUAUACACACCCUCUGCCCAGGUGGAAUGAGCCCAUACAAGCUCGUCUUGAAGAAAAAUUGUCCAGUUCUUCUGCUUCGCAAUAUCCUGCCUUCGUCUGGCCUGUGCAAUGGGACACGUAUGAUAUGCAAGAAUUUCUACCCGAAUCUGAUUGAAUGCAUGAUCACGACUGGGCAGCACAGCGGAAGCCAUGUUUUUAUACCCCGAAUUAGGCUUCGGCCGUCUGCAUCUUCCAAUUAUCCUUUCCAAUUUCAGAGGAAACAAUUCCCUAUAAAACUAAGCUUUGCAAUGACGAUAAACAAGUCACAAGGGCAAACACUAAGCCAAGUCUCCAUCUAUCUUCCCCAGCCGUGUUUCUCCCAUGGUCAGCUUUAUGUGGCAUUGUCUCGUGCUAGAAAAGCAUGUAACGUCAAAGUUGUUUCAAAACAAUCUCCGGGACACCAACCUGAGCACCAUGUUAGAAAUGUCAUCUCUUAUGAUGUGCUCAGAUUAGCCGGUAUCAUAUGAUAUACAGUUGUUGCUCCUUUUUGUGCCUUUUGGUUUGUGCUGCAAAUAUGCCCGUGAAAAACAGCCCACCUGUGUAGAAAAUCAUGCAAGCACAUGCAUUCUAAUGUCAUCUACAGGUUCCUGUUGCAGAGGAAAUGAUAAAUAAGAUCAAGAAAUUUUUGGUGUUCAUAUAUGCCAAGUGAGGGCUCUGAUAGCUCAUACAACCUCAUAUUAUUCUUUCUACUGUCGUUGCUUGCAGGUAUGAGCGAGGUUCAUGACGUAUCCCCUCAUUUUGCCCACAGUUCCAAUGGUGUAUGCAUAAUUUAGUGCGAUCAAGUUGUAAGAAUAGACUGCUGAAUUUGGUUUUGAGAUUUGUGUUCUAAACUGUUAUAAUGUCGUGAACAUGCAUUUGUUUCUGUAUAGUAAGCAUCCUAUUAAAUGUAGCCGUUCUCUUGGUCAAUCUUCAAAAGGUUAACCACCAAUUUUAGCAAGUUUCCUAAUCGAGCCGGUUUUGUAUCACCACUUUUACCCACUUCCCUACUCGAGUAUUCCUAAUUAAGGCGUUUUUUCCCCUGUCAACUUAGCUUGAGAAUAUCACUUUAGACGCUUGCAACUUAUCUAUUACUAACUUCUUUUGAAAUAUACACUCGGAAACUGGUUAUACGAAUGUAACCAUCAUGGUUCUACAGAUGUUGCUCACCGUAAUAUAGGAUGUUCCGUAACCCUUUAAAUAAAAAAUCUCGCAGAAAUCUAUGAAGCACUAAACUUUCAUCAUGAUA